AUGAACGCUGUCGGCGUGCCUAAUACAUGCAAGUCGAGCGAACAGACGAGGAGUUUGCUCCUCUGACGUUAGCGGUGGACGGGUGAGUAACACGUGGAUAACCUACCUAUAAGACUGGGAUAACUUCGGGAAACCGGAGCUAAUACCGGAUAACAUGUUGAACCGCAUGGUUCAACAGUGAAGACGGUCUUGCUGUCACUUAUAGAUGGAUCCGCGCCGCAUUAGCUAGUUGGUAAGGUAACGGCUUACCAAGGCAACGAUGCGUAGCCGACCUGAGAGGGUGAUCGGCCACACUGGAACUGAGACACGGUCCAGACUCCUACGGGAGGCAGCAGUAGGGAAUCUUCCGCAAUGGGCGAAAGCCUGACGGAGCAACGCCGCGUGAGUGAAGAAGGUCUUCGGAUCGUAAAACUCUGUUAUUAGGGAAGAACAAAUGUGUAAGUAACUAUGCACGUCUUGACGGUACCUAAUCAGAAAGCCACGGCUAACUACGUG
Molecule: ribosomal RNA, 495 nt
Filed under: uncultured bacterium
Lineage: Bacteria
Description: bacterial SSU rRNA
Rfam family: Bacterial small subunit ribosomal RNA
Source: RNAcentral